Molecule: unclassified non-coding RNA, 381 nt
Filed under: Hevea brasiliensis (rubber tree)
Lineage: Eukaryota; Viridiplantae; Streptophyta; Magnoliopsida; Malpighiales; Euphorbiaceae
Source: RNAcentral
CUUGUCCAUGCUCUUGCCGAUGCUAAAACGCAGAAUGCCAAGAAGAAGAAGAAGCAAAGCAAGGAGAAGCAGAAGAAGGAGAGCGGCGUGGUGACCAGUGCAGCAGAAGACCGGAAUCUGUCCAAGGCUGCCCGGAGGUUUUAUAAUGAGAACUUCAGGGAGCCACCGCAGCGUCUCAGUAAGGUUCUCGCUGCUGCUGGAGUGGCAUCAAGAAGGAACAGCGAAGAGCUAAUUUUUGAAGGCAAAGUGACUGUUAAUGGUUCUGUGUGCAACACUCCUCAGACUCGGGUUGAUCGUGCAAGGGAUGUCAUUUAUGUCAAUGGAAAUCGCCUUCCUAAGAAACUGCCCCCAAAGCUGUAUCUUGCCCUUAACAAGCCAAAA